UGGGGAAUAUUGGACAAUGGGGGCAACCCUGAUCCAGCAAUGCCGCGUGUGUGAAGAAGGCCUUAGGGUUGUAAAGCACUUUGAGCAGGGAAGAAGGGUUCAUGGCGAAUAGUCAUGAAUUUUGACGGUACCUGCAGAACAAGCACCGGCUAACUCUGUGCCAGCAGCCGCGGUAAUACAGAGGGUGCGAGCGUUAAUCGGAAUUACUGGGCGUAAAGGGCGCGUAGGCGGUUACAUAAGUCAGAUGUGAAAUAUCCGGGCUUAACCUGGAGCGGUCAUUUGAUACUGUGUAGCUAGAGUCGUGUAGAGGGUGGUGGAAUUUCCGGUGUAGCGGUGAAAUGCGUAGAUAUCGGAAGGAACAUCGGUGGCGAAGGCGGCCACCUGGACACAGACUGACGCU
RNAcentral lists this ribosomal RNA (400 nucleotides) under uncultured bacterium. RNAcentral describes it as "bacterial SSU rRNA". It matches the Rfam family "Bacterial small subunit ribosomal RNA", at positions 355 to 747 of the family's 1533-position model. The record is from RNAcentral.